UCUCUCUGUGGAUAUAUGUGUGUAUGUAUUAGCUUACUUGUUAAGCUGUAUAGAUAGAUAGAUAUAUAUGGGAUGCAACUCUGAUGGAUAGAUAAGCUCUCUCAAAACUAACAAUCUGCAGCUGCAACAACUAACUCCAAAAGCUAUCUAUCUAUAUAAACGAGCUUUUCUGCAGGUCUGUAUUUGUGCGGAUCGGAGUCUAUGAAGCCUGUAUUUAUGGAGUCUAUGAAAGAGAAAAUGAAAGGGGUGGUGGUGGUGGGUGUUUAAGGAUAUAUAUUUGUGACACUGAUAAUAAUAAUA
This 300-nucleotide long non-coding RNA is filed under the name Erythranthe guttata (spotted monkey flower). RNAcentral's name for it is "long non-coding RNA (EGUT_LNC001695)". Lineage: Eukaryota; Viridiplantae; Streptophyta; Magnoliopsida; Lamiales; Phrymaceae. The record is from RNAcentral.